This 21-nucleotide small RNA is filed under the name Arabidopsis thaliana (thale cress). RNAcentral describes it as "ATSL227980". Lineage: Eukaryota; Viridiplantae; Streptophyta; Magnoliopsida; Brassicales; Brassicaceae. The record is from RNAcentral.
AGCAGAAGAAGAAGAAUAAGC